UACGGGGGGGGCAAGCGUUGUUCGGAAUUACUGGGCGUAAAGGGCUCGUAGGCGGCCAACUAAGUCAGACGUGAAUCCCCUCGGCUUAACCGGGGAACUGCGUCUGAUACUGGAUGGCUUGAGGUUGGGAGAGGGAUGCGGAAUUCCAGGUGUAGCGGUGAAAUGCGUAGAUAUCUGGAGGAACACCGGUGGCUAAGGCGGCAUCCUGGACCAAUUCUGACGCUGAGGAGCGAAAGCCAGGGGAGCAAACGGG
This 253-nucleotide ribosomal RNA is filed under the name uncultured bacterium. RNAcentral's name for it is "partial 16S ribosomal RNA". It matches the Rfam family "Bacterial small subunit ribosomal RNA", at positions 524 to 776 of the family's 1533-position model. The record is from RNAcentral.